ACAAUAAGGGGAGCUUGUAUUACAGGCUGAGAGGAAGGUAUAUCCUUCGACCCAGGAACCUGAUGCGGAUAAUGCCGUCGUAGGAAGUUGUUGUA
RNAcentral lists this non-coding RNA (95 nucleotides) under uncultured Lacrimispora sp. The record is from RNAcentral. Lineage: Bacteria; Bacillati; Bacillota; Clostridia; Lachnospirales; Lachnospiraceae.